This 326-nucleotide ribosomal RNA is filed under the name uncultured eukaryote. RNAcentral describes it as "partial 18S ribosomal RNA". It matches the Rfam family "Eukaryotic small subunit ribosomal RNA", at positions 1470 to 1796 of the family's 1831-position model. The record is from RNAcentral.
CCCUUAGAUGUUCUGGGCUGCACGCGCGCUACACUGAUGCGUUCAACGAGUUUAUGACCUUGCCCGAUAGGGUUGGGUAAUCUUUUUAAAUCGCAUCGUGAUGGGGAUAGAUUAUUGCAAUUAUUAAUCUUCAACGAGGAAUUCCUAGUAAGCGCGAGUCAUCAGCUCGUGCUGAUUACGUCCCUGCCCUUUGUACACACCGCCCGUCGCUCCUACCGAUUGAGUGGUCCGGUGAAUAAUUCGGACUGCAGCAGUGUUCAGUUCCUGAACGUUGCAGCGGAAAGUUUAGUGAACCUUAUCACUUAGAGGAAGGAGAAGUCGUAACA